Molecule: ribosomal RNA, 445 nt
Filed under: delta proteobacterium NaphS2
Lineage: Bacteria; Deltaproteobacteria
Description: bacterial LSU rRNA
Rfam family: Bacterial large subunit ribosomal RNA
Source: RNAcentral
CCCAAGAGUUCACAUCGACGGCGCGGUUUGGCACCUCGAUGUCGGCUCAUCGCAUCCUGGGGCUGGAGCAGGUCCCAAGGGUUUGGCUGUUCGCCAAUUAAAGCGGUACGUGAGCUGGGUUUAGAACGUCGUGAGACAGUUCGGUCCCUAUCUUUCGUGGGCGCAGGAUAUUUGAGAGGAUCUUUCCCUAGUACGAGAGGACCGGGAUGGACGAACCUCUGGUGUUCCAGUUGUCGCGCCAGCGGCAUAGCUGGGUAGCUACGUUCGGAAUGGAUAACCGCUGAAAGCAUCUAAGUGGGAAGCCAACCUCAAGAUAAGAUAUCCCCAUUUUGUGGAGACACAAGAUCUGAAGACCCCUUGUAGACGACAAGGUUGAUAGGCCAGGUGUGUAAGUACAGUAAUGUAUUUAGCUAACUGGUACUAAUCGGUCGUGAGGCUUGGCCAU